CCACUCACUUUAAUCCUGGGUCACAAGAAGAGGACUUUGGGGAAUGAUCCUCUGAACUAUUAUUUCUUGCUUAUCCACUGAAUUACACUUAAAAUUUCAACAAUACGUCCUCAUUGGGAGCCUCAUGCAAACGAGUCAGGAUCCCUCAUAUUAUCCAAGUUCUGCCUACGGAACUAUAAGCAGGACAUGUAUGUAUUCCUAUUGAUGACUGACAGUGACUCCACUGUCAGCCAUGAAAGAACUCCCUUGUGUAAGAAAGUGCAGUGCCAUGCAGUUAGUGAAUAAAGUUCUGGAAAAAUGGAACCAUUAGAGUUAAAUCAAUAUAUUUAGAAAAUCUAGGAAACCCAGUAAAUGGGUAGGUAGAACUCUGCAGUGGACUCAGGGUUCGUCACAGACAGAGGCGGUAAAGUAAUUCACCCAGGCCUCGGAAUAGGAGCAGCAACGAACAUUUUCCACAUCAAAGGUUUUAAUCUUAGAAAAGGGAUCACAAAAAAGACACAUCAUUCAUCUUAUUUUAUAGAAUUAGAAAAUGAUUUAAGUGAUUAAUGCCUAGAUCUUCCAAUCUCUAAACGGAGCACUAUAAAUUUUAGACAUCUAUUUUUUUAGUGAUAAUAAUAGCUGUUCUGAAAUGUUCAGCUUCUCACUGGGAAAAAAAAAAAAAGAAGAAAAGAAAAAGUCGCGAUUCAAUAAUUUACUCGACCCAAUUCUUUCUUGUAGAGUUCUACAGGAUGAGCCAUCAUUGUCACAGUUUUCAUGCCUGACCUGUCUCCAGAGCUCUUCAAACCUUCGGAAGCAAGAAUGUUUUUAUCUGCUAUCCUCCAGAAUCACCCUCAGGUUACCUGACCCCACUAAAUCGAAAAUGGGGGUAAAAAUCUCUGCUGCAAAUUCCUCCUGGCUCUGCCACCUUGGCCAGUCAUUCCACCAAACGGAUCGUGCCUUGCAGAUGAAAGUCGUCAAACUGAAAGGGAAGUGGUCGUUGCAAACUGAUUUCCUAAUUGAUCUCUUUGUUCAACCUGCAUCUACAGGGGAGUUUCUGUGUCCCAAGCAGUGCUGGAUGCUGAGGUACAAAGAGUGCAUCCUGGAGGUCCUUAAGGAAGAAGCAGUCCCAGCCUGUAAAAGGCUCCCAGCAGAAAGAGGAAAUGUGUUUGUCAUCAAGAUUAAGCGUCAGGACGAAUAUGAGAAAAGCCUUUUGGAAACAAUGUGUGUAAAUAUUAUCUCAGUCACUUUAUAG
Molecule: long non-coding RNA, 1231 nt
Filed under: Callithrix jacchus (white-tufted-ear marmoset)
Lineage: Eukaryota; Metazoa; Chordata; Mammalia; Primates; Cebidae
Description: lncRNA (ENSCJAG00000075062.1)
Source: RNAcentral